RNAcentral lists this ribosomal RNA (92 nucleotides) under bacterium M00.F.Ca.ET.191.01.1.1. RNAcentral describes it as "partial 23S ribosomal RNA". It matches the Rfam family "Bacterial large subunit ribosomal RNA", at positions 2841 to 2925 of the family's 2925-position model. The record is from RNAcentral.
AAGACGACCACGUUGAUAGGCCGGGUGUGGAAGAGCGGCAACGCUUGAAGCUUACCGGUACUAAUAGUUCGAUCGGCUUGAUCGUUCUCAUU